CUCACAAUUCUCAAACCAUGGUCUCCUCAUCUGUCUCGUUGUUUCUGCUGCUAGCAGCUGUCUCUCGUGUCCACUGUGUUGAACUGACCCAGACUGAUUCUAUGGUCUUAAGGCCUGGUCAGGUUUUGACACUGUCCUGUAAGAUCUCUGGAUAUUCAGUGACUGAUAGCAGCUACUGCACUGACUGGAUACGACAGGCUGCAGGAAAAGCUCUGGAAUGGAUCGGAGA
Molecule: long non-coding RNA, 229 nt
Organism: Ctenopharyngodon idella (grass carp)
Lineage: Eukaryota; Metazoa; Chordata; Actinopteri; Cypriniformes; Xenocyprididae
Exons: 3
Source: RefSeq, a predicted model, not a curated record